GAUGAAGAACGCAGCGAAAUGCGAUAAGUAAUGUGAAUUGCAGAAUUCAGUGAAUCAUCGAAUCUUUGAACGCACAUUGCGCCCGCCAGUAUUCUGGCGGGCAUGCCUGUUCGAGCGUCAUUUCAACCCUCAAGACCCCUUCGGGGGACUUGGUGUUGGGGACCGGCUGUUCCCGGCCUGCUUCUUGCAGCGCCUUUAUGCCGCCCCCGAAAUGAAUUGGCGGCCUCGUCGCGGCCUCCCCUGCGUAGUAGCACAACCUCGCAACGGGAACGUGACGGAGGCCACUGCCGUAAAACAACCCCAUUUUAUUAGAGUUGACCUCGAAUCAGGUAGGAAUACCCGCUGAACUUAAGCAUAUCAAUAAGCGGAGGA
RNAcentral lists this unclassified non-coding RNA (372 nucleotides) under soil metagenome. RNAcentral's name for it is "partial contains 5.8S ribosomal RNA, internal transcribed spacer 2, and large subunit ribosomal RNA". The stretch from base 1 to 120 matches the Rfam family "5.8S ribosomal RNA", at positions 35 to 154 of the family's 154-position model. The record is from RNAcentral.